AAGAAGAGCAAUGGGAAAGAGAUGGCAGAGAAAUUCUAGGAGUGACAUGAAAUAUGGGGAAAGGAGUGACAGGUGAAGAUGGGGACAGAGAGAGGGAUGGGCAGUGAGUGAGUGCCUCUGGGCAGACAUUGGCUCAGUCAGGAGUUGAGAGGAGAGAGGACUGAAAGAUUUGUGGGGAAUGCAGUAGGAUAAUGGUGCAGUACUAGAUGAUAUAAAGUGUGGAGCAGAGAGGGGAAAUAGGGAAGACGGUGUGCGGCUGGAUUAGAGGAGGAGGGUGGAGGAGUCGGCAUAAGAGAAGGACAGAUUUGACUCAGAAAGCUCAAUGGAUUACAGAUUUGUGAGCUGGUGGUUUGUCACUACUUGCUGGCAGUUACAUUCUCUGUCUGCUUCUCUAUGCCAUUUCUCUCUCUCCAGCUCAACUUUAGGGCAGAGUAAGCUCUGUGGCUGAGUGUAGUCAGAGCAAACUGAGAGGGCAAAAGGGAGAGGCAGUAGAGCUGGUGAGGUGCUUGUAACUGGACCUGUUUCUCCUUGCUUUGGAAUGUGACUCUCUCAAUUCAAGAAGCUUCAAUGACUCAAUCACUGAUGGGAUACUUCUCUCCCUAAGAACAUCAGGUGGAAUUAAAUCUGACAAAGACUCUUUGAUUGAAAUGGGAGUGAAGCAAUGGGAGCGGAGCAUCCAAAUUCUCCAGCAUGUGGUCUCCUCUCCAGCUCCCAUCAACCCCCAGGAGAAGAUGAAGGGAGCUUUGAGUCUCUCAGGCGGAAGAACCUGAGCCCUAGGACCAUGCCUCAGGACUACCUGGCAUGGUGACUCCUUGCUGUCCCCAGACCACCUGGCCCUGCUGCUGCUCCAGUUUCAACUGUUCUGCCUGCGGCUAUGGAAUCCUGACCUGUUCACCGGACGUGCUACCUGUCCUAGACCUUUUAUUUGACAAUGCUGGUCAUUUAUGAACAUUUGAACAUCUUGGCCAUGUUCUGUUAUAAUCUCCACCCGGCACAGCCAGAAGAGGACUGGCCACCCAUCAUAGCCUGGUUCCUCUCUAGGUUUCUUCCUCGGUUUUGGCCUUUCUAUGGAGUUUUUCCUAGCCAACAUGCUUCAACACCUGCAUUGCUUGCUGUUUGAGGUUUUAGGCUGGGUAUCUGUACAGCACUUUGAGAUAUCAGCUGAUGUACGAAGGGCUAUAUAAAUACAUUUGAUUUGAUUUGAUAUCCUCUCUCCUCGCUCUCCUCACUCUCCUCUAUCCUCUCUUUCCCCUCUCCUCUUUCCUUUCUCUCCUCUCUUCUCUCUCCUCGCUCUCCUCUCUCUCCUCUCUCUUCUCUCUCCUCUCUCCUCUCUACCCACUCUCCUCUCCCUCUUCUUUCUCCUCUCUCCUCUCUCUCCUCACUGUGCUCUCUCCUCUCUCUCCUCACUGGGCUCUCUCCUCUCUCUCCUCGCUCUCCUCAUUCUCCUCACUCUCCUCUCUCUUCUCUCUCUCCUCUUUCUCCUUACUCUACACAUUCUACUCACUCUCCUCUCUCUCAUCUCUCUUCUCUCUCCUCUCUCCUCACUCUCCUCUCUCUCCUCUCUCUCAUUUCUCUCCUCUCUCUCCUCACUGUGCUC
Long non-coding RNA from Oncorhynchus tshawytscha (Chinook salmon), 1597 nucleotides. NCBI's taxonomy places the organism in Eukaryota, Metazoa, Chordata, Actinopteri, Salmoniformes, Salmonidae. The record is from Ensembl.